AACUGUUAUGGCGGAUGGGAGUUUCAAGAAGUAAACUUAAAAUUUUGAGGAACAUGGCGUGGAGAUCACACGGGGAAAGUAACAGUGACCUGCUCGAUCAGCUCAAAAGUACGGAGAUAUAUGAUUUAUUUUGCUUGGUGUUGAAUUUAACUUUUUUUCUUCCCUUGAUUUUAGUCCAUGAAGUGUUGAAAAGCAAAAGGGUCGAAGAGGCUCUGAGACGAGUUGACAGGAAACAUUAUUGUCGAAAUCGAGCAUUUGAAGAUUCUCCACAACCAAUAGGUUAUCAAGCAACAAUUAGUGCACCACACAUGCAUGUGUAUGCACUACAACAACUUGAGGGUCAUCUCAAAGAGGGUGCUUGUGCUUUAGAUGUUGGUUCAGGGAGUGGCUAUCUCACAGCUGCUAUGGCUUAUAUGGUUGGAGAAAGUGGAAAGGUUUAUGGAAUUGAUCAUAUUGAUCAGCUUGUCAAAGAUUCUAUGGCUAAUAUUAAAAGAGGGAAUCCUGAACUUCUUGAAAAGGGCAGAGUCAAAAUUGUCUCUGGUGAUGGGCGCAAAGGUUAUGAACCUGGGCAACCCUACGAUGCAAUACAUGUGGGAGCAGCUGCAGCAGAAUUACCAUCUGCUCUUCUAGAGCAGCUUAAACCAGGAGGUCGUCUUAUUUGUCCUGUGGGAGCAGAAGGGCGGAAUCAGGUUCUUGAACAGCAUGAUAAACUUGAGGAUGGCCAAAUUAUGAAGAAGAAUCUGAUGGGUGUCAUCUAUGUCCCACUCUGUGAUAAAAAACACCAGUGGCCAGAAUUCUAAAUAAAAGAAAUAGGCUACAAGUGGAUUUUGAAGAAAGCCAAUAGCAUAUUUCAGGCUUUAAUGCUAGUUUUGUCUGUAACUUGUUACUAUUCAAGCAUUGUUAUCAGCGACAUGAAAUCUUAAACAGAAGCUCUCUUCAGUGAAAAGUUCCGCAUACUUUAGUAUGAAAGGUGAAAAGGAAGAAUGAACAAUUUCUUUUGGUGGUUUAAGCGGAGGAUCUUUUAAAUAGAACCAUACUAAAAAAUGGAUUUUUAUCACUAAGAUAUUUGUUAUUUGUCUAGUUGUCAAGAAGUAGGUAGACAUUAUCAUUAAAAGUUCAACAACAGCUUA
This 1130-nucleotide unclassified non-coding RNA is filed under the name Pocillopora damicornis (cauliflower coral). RNAcentral describes it as "protein-L-isoaspartate(D-aspartate) O- methyltransferase-like, transcript variant X5". Lineage: Eukaryota; Metazoa; Cnidaria; Anthozoa; Scleractinia; Pocilloporidae. The record is from RNAcentral.